UCUUAUGGUUGGACCGUUGGAUUUGCAGAAGUGCAUAGGUCUCUUCCUGCAUGGUGGCACUUACAUGGGCAUUUAGGUUGUAAAGUGGAUUACUUGGUGGUUUCUUUAGUAAAAUGAAAGAUCAAGCAGGAUAAGAAGGGCAGAGGUUUGAGAAAAAUGAAGUAGAAGCAAGGAAUUCUAUUUGAAGAAGGCCUAAAGAAGCAACAUUUGGCCAGGCACAAACCUAAUUGAGAGCAUGUGGUUGAGUUGAUCUGUGACAGGAGAUGAUUCUUAGAAUUAGAUUCAAGAGCUGAUUUUGAAGGCUCAGAAUCUAAUCAAUGAUCCAAAGAAAACUAGCAGCUGGCAAUCCACUGAUGGAGACAACCUGCAUAAGAGAAUCAAUAACUUUCUUGUGAGGUACAAGUGAAGCACGUGAAAGCGAAGCAGUGAGGGUAGGUGGAUGUUGUGGGACACAGCUAAUAUUAUGACAUACCCUGUGAUGGCUCAACAUUUUUCUGAAUUGUGCUUGAUGUGGAGGCAUCUAAACCUGCAGGAAGAUUGUAGGAUGCUGGCAGAUUUCCUGUGCUACACCGGUCCUGUUGAGGAUGAGAUAUACCAGAACAAGAGCUAGAGAAGUAGUGGGAUUAUAUUGUGCUUUAGGAGUCAUCAUUUCUACUCAUGAGCCAGAUGUUUCUAUGCUUGGUAGAAAUUCUGGGUGGUCUUUGGUUUUGUACUUGUGUUGAACUGAGCUGAUCAUGUCAUUGGCCCAAGUUACUUAAUGUAGAUCUGCCAUAUCAGUAGAUGGGUUAAUAGUGUCCUGUAGCAGGUUUUGAGCCUU
Long non-coding RNA from Telopea speciosissima, 817 nucleotides. RefSeq lists it as uncharacterized. Lineage: Eukaryota; Viridiplantae; Streptophyta; Magnoliopsida; Proteales; Proteaceae. The transcript has 3 exons. The record is from RefSeq and is a predicted model, not a curated record.